This 754-nucleotide long non-coding RNA is filed under the name Panax ginseng (ginseng). RNAcentral describes it as "long non-coding RNA (PGIN_LNC013510)". Lineage: Eukaryota; Viridiplantae; Streptophyta; Magnoliopsida; Apiales; Araliaceae. The record is from RNAcentral.
UUUAUCCAUGUAAUCGUUUCAAUUCAAAUGAUAUAAAUGAAAGUUCCCAUUCCUGUCAAUGUUUAACUUCAUCUAUAUUCAUAUAUUUCGUUACUACUUGAACAGACAUGCUUCGGGCACUAUCCGAUCAAGAGCUUCGGAAAAACUCCAUGAUCGAGAUAAGUCCCGAGCAUAACUGACCAAGAGUUUAAUAAAUGCUUAAAGUACAGAUCUCGAGCACUAUCCGAUCAAGAGGUUCGGGCAGACACCACUGAUCGAGAUAAGUCUCGGGUAUAACUGUUGACCCUCUAAAAUCAGAUAAACCCUAAGGACGAUCCGACCAGGAGGUUCGGGUGGACAUAACUGAUCGAGAUCAGUCAUAAGUGAAACUGACAAUAAGCAUUCAUGGGCAAAGAGUAUAUCAUAUUUAUACUUAGAAAAUUUCUACUUUACAAACCCGGUCGCUUACGAUUCGGGCUAAGUACAAAAAAAAAAAAAAAAAAAGAAGGAAAAUUUUCUUUAUUACAAAUCCUACAUAUCUACUCGGCAGGAGGGUCAUCUUCAGCGUCAGACUCGUCAUCCGAAGAGUCAAGGAGGGAGACAUCAAGCCCAACAGCCAUCAACUUUGCUUUAGCUUUUUCCCGAUGAGUCUCAUACCCUUCACCAAAUUGGGCUAUGACCUUAUCGUUCAAGGCUUCAGAUUCCUCAUACUCGGCGAUGGCUUGCUGUCUGGCUUCGAUUAUCUUCUCGGAGAAGGCGUUGACAGUAGCAGUCA